AGGAAUAUUGGUCAAUGGACGAGAGUCUGAACCAGCCAAGUAGCGUGAAGGAUGACUGCCCUAUGGGUUGUAAACUUCUUUUAUACGGGAAUAAAGUGAGGCACGUGUGCCUUUUUGUAUGUACCGUAUGAAUAAGGAUCGGCUAACUCCGUGCCAGCAGCCGCGGUAAUACGGAGGAUCCGAGCGUUAUCCGGAUUUAUUGGGUUUAAAGGGAGCGUAGGCGGACGCUUAAGUCAGUUGUGAAAGUUUGCGGCUCAACCGUAAAAUUGCAAUUGAUACUGGCAGUCUUGAGUACAGUUGAGGUAGGCGGAAUUCGUGGUGUAGCGGUGAAAUGCUUAGAUAUCACGAAGAACUCCGAUUGCGAAGGCAGCUUACUAACCUGUAACUGACAUUGAUGCUCGAAAGUGUGGGUAUCAAACAGGAUUAGAUACCCUGGUAGUCCACACGGUAAACGAUGAAUACUCGCUGUAGGCGAUAUACGGUCUGCGGCCAAGCGAAAGCAUUAAGUAUUCCACCUGGGGAGUACGCCGGCAACGGUGAAACUCAAAGGAAUUGACGGGGGCCCGCACAAGCGGAGGAACAUGUGGUUUAAUUCGAUGAUACGCGAGGAACCUUACCCGGGCUUAAAUUGCAACCGAAUAUGGCGGAAACGCCAUAGCUAGCAAUAGCGGUUGUGAAGGUGCUGCAUGGUUGUCGUCAGCUCGUGCCGUGAGGUGUCGGCUUAAGUGCCAUAACGAGCGCAACCCUUGCCGAUAGUUACUAACAGGUUAUGCUGAGGACUCUGUCGGGACUGCCAUCGUAAGAUGUGAGGAAGGUGGGGAUGACGUCAAAUCAGCACGGCCCUUACGUCCGGGGCUACACACGUGUUACAAUGGGGGGUACAGAGGGCUGCUACCACGCAAGUGGAUGCCAAUCCCAAAAACCUCUCUCAGUUCGGAUUGAAGUCUGCAACCCGACUUCAUGAAGCUGGAUUCGCUAGUAAUCGCGCAUCAGCCACGGCGCGGUGAAUACGUUCCCG
This 1018-nucleotide ribosomal RNA is filed under the name uncultured bacterium. RNAcentral's name for it is "bacterial SSU rRNA". It matches the Rfam family "Bacterial small subunit ribosomal RNA", at positions 357 to 1376 of the family's 1533-position model. The record is from RNAcentral.